Molecule: ribosomal RNA, 1823 nt
Filed under: Heterosigma akashiwo
Lineage: Eukaryota; Raphidophyceae; Chattonellales; Chattonellaceae
Description: partial Eukaryotic large subunit ribosomal RNA
Rfam family: Eukaryotic large subunit ribosomal RNA
Source: RNAcentral
CGCCAUCACGGACGGUGACAAUCCGGUUCUUGCCUGGGGUCCCGCGGCGUACGAGCCGUUUCCGACGAGUCGUGUUGCUUGGGAUUGCAGCACUAAGUGGGUGGUAAAUUCCAUCUAAAGCUAAAUAUUGGUGGGAGACCGAUAGCGAACAAGUACCGUGAGGGAAAGAUGAAAAGACUUUUGAAAAGAGAGUAAAAUAGUACCUGAAACUGCUGAAAGGGAAGCGAUUGAAGUCAGUGUUGCUCCUGGUCUUUUUGCCGUCGCCCCCGUGGGGGUUGCGGCGUGGGGCCUGGAGCGUUUCAACAUGCGUUCUGUUCCGCGGGAAAUGUUCAGUGUGCUGGAACCUUCGGGGAAACGCACUGUUCUUGUCGUGGUUAGGACGGAGGACCUUUGCUCCUUUGACUGCGCGUUCCUCUCUCGGGUAUGCUGGUGUCUACUGCUUGCAGUUUUCAUUUUCAUGCUUGCGACUGUGCGUGUUAUUCAUGAGCGAACAUGAUGUUGAAGAAAUGGCUUUAAUUACCCCGUCUUGAAACACGGACCAAGGAGUCUAACAUCUGUGCGAGUGUUUGGGUGUAAAACCCAUGCGCGUAAUGAAAGUGAACGGAGGUGGGAAGCGCAAGCUGCACCAUCGACCGAUCCUGAUGUCUUCGGAUGGAUUUGAGUAAGAGCAUAGCUGUUGGGACCCGAAAGAUGGUGAACUAUGCCUGAAUAGGGUGAAGCCAGAGGAAACUCUGGUGGAGGCUCGCAGCGAUUCUGACGUGCAAAUCGAUCGUCAAAUUUGGGUAUAGGGGCGAAAGACUAAUCGAACCAUCUAGUAGCUGGUUCCCUCCGAAAUUUCCCUUAGGAUAGCUGCAACCGGUUAAGAGUUUUAUCAGGUAAAGCGAAUGAUUAGAGGAUUCGGGGACGGAAUGUCCUCGACCUAUUCUCAAACUUUAAAUGGGUAAGAACCCGGGGUUGCUUAAUUGAACCCUGCGGUCGAAUCUCGGUUGCUAGUGGGCCAGUCCGGGUAAGCUGGACUGGCGAUGCGGGAUGAUCCGAACGCUGAGUUAAAGUGCCUAACUGCUCGCUCACCUAGAUCCCACAAAAGGUGUUGGUUCAUCCAGACAGCAGGACGGUGGCCAUGGAAGUCGGAAUCCGCUAAGGAGUGUGUAACAACUCACCUGCCGAAUGAACUAGCCCUGAAAAUGGAUGGCGCUCAAGCGUGCUACCCAUACCUCGCCGCCGGGGUAGAAACGAUGCCCCGGCGAGUAGGCUGGCGUGGAGGCCCGUGACGAAGCCUAGGGAGUGAUCCCGGGUAGAACGGCCUCUAGUGCAGAUCUUGGUGGUAGUAGCAAAUACUCAAAUGAGAACUUUGAGGACUGAAGUGGGGAAAGGUUCCAUGUGAACAGCAGUUGGACAUGGGUUAGUCGAUCCUAAGGGGCAGGGAAACUCCGUUUUAACGUGCGCACUUGUGCGCCGCUCCCCGAAAGGGAAACCGGUUAACAUUCCGGUACCUGGAUGUGGAUUCUCCACGGCAACGUAACUGAAGGCGGAGACGUCGGCGGGGGCCCUGGGAAGAGUUCUCUUUUCUUCUUAACGGUCCAUCACCCUGAAAUCGGUUUGUCCGGAGCUAGGGUUUAACGGCCGGUAGAGCCCCGCACCUUUGCGGGGUCCGGUGCGCUCCCGACGACCCUUGAAAAUCCGCCGGAAGGAAUAGUUUUCACGCCAGGUCGUACUCAUAACCGCAGCAGGUCUCCAAGGUGAAAAGCCUCUAGUUGAUAGAACAAUGUAGGUAAGGGAAGUCGGCAAAAUAGAUCCGUAACCUCGGGAAAAGGAUUGGCUCU